GUGGGGAAUAUUGGACAAUGGGGGGAACCCUGAUCCAGCCAUGCCGCGUGUGUGAAGAAGGCCUUUUGGUUGUAAAGCACUUUAAUCGAGGAGGAGGCUACCGAGAUUAAUACUCUUGGAUAGUGGACGUUACUCGCAGAAUAAGCACCGGCUAACUCUGUGCCAGCAGCCGCGGUAAUACAGAGGGUGCAAGCGUUAAUCGGAUUUACUGGGCGUAAAGCGCGCGUAGGUGGCCAAUUAAGUCAAAUGUGAAAUCCCCGAGCUUAACUUGGGAAUUGCAUUCGAUACUGGUUGGCUAGAGUAUGGGAGAGGAUGGUAGAAUUCCAGGUGUAGCGGUGAAAUGCGUAGAGAUCUGGAGGAAUACCGAUGGCGAAGGCAGCCAUCUGGCCUAAUACUGACACUGAGGUGCGAAAGCAUGGGGAGCAAACAGGAUUAGAAACCCGGGUAGUCC
RNAcentral lists this ribosomal RNA (451 nucleotides) under uncultured bacterium. RNAcentral's name for it is "partial 16S ribosomal RNA". It matches the Rfam family "Bacterial small subunit ribosomal RNA", at positions 354 to 796 of the family's 1533-position model. The record is from RNAcentral.